RNAcentral lists this ribosomal RNA (393 nucleotides) under Triticum aestivum (bread wheat). RNAcentral's name for it is "partial small subunit ribosomal RNA". The record is from RNAcentral. Lineage: Eukaryota; Viridiplantae; Streptophyta; Magnoliopsida; Poales; Poaceae.
AUGGCAAAUUUAGUUUACUCAUCAUGGCAAAUUUGCUUCCUGGAAGAUGGCAAAUAUAGUUAUCAAAGCAUGGCAAAUUCAUUGCUUUCUUGCCAUGGCAAUUUUUUGAUUUUUAAAAUUGUCACCAUACUUCUUGAAAUUUUCAAAAACAACAUAAAAUGGAAAAUAUUGCGAUGGCAUGUUUUACUAAUUAUUUCACCUUUAUUAACAUGGCAAAUUUACCUAAAUUUUCAUGACAAUUUUUUAACAUUUAUUGCCAUGGCAAGUUUUAUUAUUUAUUUGCCAUGCCAAAUUUACCUUUUUAUUAAGAUGGUAAAUUUACCUAACUACCCACGACAAUAUUUAACUUUUAUUGCCAUGGAAAUUUUUACUAUUUAUUUGACUUUUUAUUAA